AAAGACCCGAGCUAACAUGGGGUUAGCUCGUUAAAUUACAAUAAAGCCUCGUGCAGUUUGCAGCAAGCUCUCGAAUCCGCCUGGUGAUUGGGGUGACCGCGAACCUGGCCUGAGACCCCGGAUACUUUCGGGGGUCUAACACUUUCUGUUUUGAGAAAAAGCAGAUUGAGGCACCCUCCCAUACCUAGAGUCAAGAAAGAGAUGCAGGACAGCCUCCAGAGGAACAAGACUUCCUAGAGGAUGAUUUGGAAACAAACUGAACAUGAGAAUGAUUCUCCCGAGGUUUACUCUUCCCAGGAUAGCAUCAGUCUGCACGAGGCAGGCAGCACAUGCCAAGAAAAGAGAGGUCUCACUCCUGAGGAGCAGUGUGAAGUUUCUCCCUCUUCUGGUUUUGACAAAAAUUGAACCAAUUCACUGUACUUAUAUCUUUAGAAACCGUGAGCAUAAAGUGCCCAAAGCUUUUCUCUGUUACUGAAUCUCGGAUCCAAAGCAGCCAUCACAAGUGGUGUGUGUCUAUGUUACUGAAGAAUAUGGGUGGGUGGCUUGUAUCAAUGGAAAGCACAAUCCAAACAUGUUUGUGUAUGGAGUGAUUAGGUUCAUGUUAGAUACAUGUAGAAAUACAGGUUAGGGUCAAGAUAAAAGUGAAGCUAAGAAGUGGUGAUGGAGGUAAAGGGGUAGUGACAUAGUUGGGGGGGGGCUUCUUCUGCAUUCAACUUCACCCAAUAAUAGCUCCAAAACUUCAAAGAAACUAUGGCAUCUUUUUGUUUCUUACCCGAGAGAAUUAGGGAUAAACUAAUCUUGGCAUGCAUAUUAUUAAAAGUUACUCUGAUUAAAUCCGGUGAGACAGCCUAGAGGUGUAAACACAU
This 866-nucleotide long non-coding RNA is filed under the name Cricetulus griseus (Chinese hamster). Its description in RNAcentral is "lncRNA (ENSCGRG00000026125.1)". Lineage: Eukaryota; Metazoa; Chordata; Mammalia; Rodentia; Cricetidae. The record is from RNAcentral.